Molecule: ribosomal RNA, 826 nt
Filed under: uncultured bacterium
Lineage: Bacteria
Description: bacterial SSU rRNA
Rfam family: Bacterial small subunit ribosomal RNA
Source: RNAcentral
AGAGUUUGAUCCUGGCUGAGAGUGAACGCUGGCGGCGUGCCUAACACAUGCAAGUCGAACGAGAACGGGUUUAGUUUACUAAACUGUCAGCUAAGUGGCGCACGGGUGAGUAAUAUAUAGUUAACCUGCCCCAAAGAAGAGAAUAAUUGUUGGAAACGACUUGUAAUGCUCUAUAUGCCUUUAAGACAUAAGUCUGCGAGGGAAAUAUUUAUAGCUUUGGGAUGGGACUGUACGGUAUCAGCUUGUUGGUGAGGUAAUGGCUCACCAAGGCUAUGACGCCUAACUGGUUUGAGAGGAUGAUCAGUCACACUGGAACUGAGACACGGUCCAGACUCCUACGGGAGGCAGCAGUGGGGAAUAUUGCACAAUGGAGGAAACUCUGAUGCAGCAACGCCGCGUGGAGGAUGACACAUUUCGGUGCGUAAACUCCUUUUAUAUGAGAAGAUAAUGACGGUAUCAUAUGAAUAAGCACCGGCUAACUCCGUGCCAGCAGCCGCGGUAAUACGGGGGGUGCAAGCGUUACUCGGAAUCACUGGGCGUAAAGAGCAUGUAGGCUGGUUUGUAAGUUGGAAGUGAAAUCCUAUGGCUUAACCAUAGAACUGCUUCCAAAACUGCAGACCUAGAAUAUGGGAGAGGUAGAUGGAAUUUCUGGUGUAGGGGUAAAAUCCGUAGAGAUCAGAAGGAAUACCGAUUGCGAAGGCGAUCUACUGGAACAUUAUUGACGCUGAGAUGCGAAAGCGUGGGGAGCAAACAGGAUUAGAUACCCUGGUAGUCCACGCCCUAAACGAUGCACACUAGUUGUUGCUAUGCUAGACAUAGCAGUAAU